Molecule: ribosomal RNA, 468 nt
Filed under: uncultured bacterium
Lineage: Bacteria
Description: partial 16S ribosomal RNA
Rfam family: Bacterial small subunit ribosomal RNA
Source: RNAcentral
GACGGACGCUGGCGGCGUGCUUAACACAUGCAAGUCGAACGGAAAGGCCUUGCUUUUGUGGGGUGCUCGAGUGGCGAACGGGUGAGUAACACGUGAGUAACCUGCCCUUGACUUUGGGAUAACUUCAGGAAACUGGGGCUAAUACCGGAUAGGAGCUCCUGCUGCAUGGUGGGGGUUGGAAAGUUUCGGCGGUUGGGGAUGGACUCGCGGCUUAUCAGCUUGUUGGUGGGGUAGUGGCUUACCAAGGCUUUGACGGGUAGCCGGCCUGAGAGGGUGACCGGCCACAUUGGGACUGAGAUACGGCCCAGACUCCUACGGGAGGCAGCAGUGGGGAAUAUUGCACAAUGGGCGGAAGCCUGAUGCAGCAACGCCGCGUGCGGGAUGACGGCCUUCGGGUUGUAAACCGCUUUCGCCUGUGACGAAGCGUGAGUGACGGUAAUGGGUAAAGAAGCACCGGCUAACUACGUG